GGACCGGUAAAAGCCGGAGGAAGGUGAGGAUGAUGUCAAGUCAGCAUGACCUUUAUAUCCAGGGCUACACACACGCUACAAUGGUCUGUACAAUGGGUAGCCAAGCCGCGAGGCGGAGCCAAUCCUGAAAGCAGGCCUCAGUUCAGAUUGCAGUCUGCAACUCGACUGCAUGAAGCCGGAGUUGCUAGUAACCGCAGGUCAGCAAUACUGCGGUGAAUACGUUCCCGGGUCUU
Molecule: ribosomal RNA, 233 nt
Filed under: uncultured Anaerolineaceae bacterium
Lineage: Bacteria; Bacillati; Chloroflexota; Anaerolineae; Anaerolineales; Anaerolineaceae
Description: partial 16S ribosomal RNA
Rfam family: Bacterial small subunit ribosomal RNA
Source: RNAcentral